AUGCUUCUUCUCCUAAAAAGGAACGGUACCCCUUUUUCUUCCAAGUUAACACGCCGCCGUCACCGCCGCGAGCAAAUCGUGCCGCUGCGACUACCUCCGUCGUGGUUCCCUCAUCAUCACCAACCGCACCAGCGUCACUCUCUCCACGGACCUCUCAGUUCGACUUUCCUCUGCAUUUUCGAUUCGCUUUUUCCUUUUUAA
Non-coding RNA from Vicia faba (fava bean), 201 nucleotides. Lineage: Eukaryota; Viridiplantae; Streptophyta; Magnoliopsida; Fabales; Fabaceae. The record is from the annotation of a GenBank genome assembly.